This 85-nucleotide transfer RNA is filed under the name Felis catus (domestic cat). It matches the Rfam family "tRNA". From Rfam's summary of the family: Transfer RNA (tRNA) molecules are approximately 80 nucleotides in length. Their secondary structure includes four short double-helical elements and three loops (D, anti-codon, and T loops). Lineage: Eukaryota; Metazoa; Chordata; Mammalia; Carnivora; Felidae. The record is from Rfam by way of RNAcentral. RNAcentral also lists the same sequence under 3 other names.
ACCUGGGUGGUUCAGUUGGUUGAGCGUCUGACUUCUGCUCAGGUCAUGAUCCCACAGUUGGUGGGUUCGAGUCCCACACCAGGCU